AGGAUCAACGCUGGCGGCGUGCCUAACACAUGCAAGUCGCACGAGAAAGGGUAGCAAUACCUGAGUACAGUGGCGCACGGGUGAGUAACACGUGAAUAAUCUACCUCCGAGUGGGGAAUAACUGAGAGAAAUCUUAGCUAAUACCGCAUAACACUUACGAGUCAAAGCAGCAAUGCGCUUGGAGAGGAGUUCGCGGCAGAUUAGUUAGUUGGCGGGGUAAUGGCCCACCAAGACGAUGAUCUGUAUCCGGCCUGAGAGGGCGCACGGACACACUGGAACUGAAACACGGUCCAGACUCCUACGGGAGGCAGCAGUGGGGAAUUUUGCGCAAUGGGGGAAACCCUGACGCAGCAACGCCGCGUGGAGGAUGAAAUAUCUUGGUAUGUAAACUCCUUUCGAUGGGGAAGAUUAUGACGGUACCCAGUACGAAGAAGCUCCGGCUAACUUCGUGCCAGCAGCCGCGGUAA
RNAcentral lists this ribosomal RNA (467 nucleotides) under uncultured bacterium. RNAcentral's name for it is "SSU rRNA". It matches the Rfam family "Bacterial small subunit ribosomal RNA", at positions 26 to 523 of the family's 1533-position model. The record is from RNAcentral.